Molecule: ribosomal RNA, 1516 nt
Filed under: uncultured bacterium
Lineage: Bacteria
Description: partial 16S ribosomal RNA
Rfam family: Bacterial small subunit ribosomal RNA
Source: RNAcentral
GAGUUUGAUCCUGGCUCAGGAUGAACGCUAGCGAUAGGCCUUACACAUGCAAGUCGAGGGGCAGCACAAAGAAAGUAGCAAUACCUUUUUGGUGGCGACCGGCGCACGGGUGAGUAACGCGUAUGCAACCUACCUACUACUUUGGGAUAGCUCGUUGAAAGACGAAUUAAUACCUUAUAAAACAGGGGCUCCGCAUGGAGAUAUUUGUUAAAGCCCCGAUGCAAAUCGGUGUGGUAGUAGAUGGGCAUGCGUUCCAUUAGUUAGUUGGCGAGGUAACGGCUCACCAAGACAACGAUGGAUAGGGGAACUGAGAGGUUUUACCCCCACACUGGAACUGAGACACGGUCCAGACUCCUACGGGAGGCAGCAGUGAGGAAUCUUGGUCAAUGGGCGCAAGCCUGAACCAGCCAAGUCGCGUGAAGGAUGACGGCCCUACGGGUUGUAAACUUCUUUUUUAAGGGAAUAAAGUGAGCCACGAGCUGGCUUUUUGCAUGUACCUUACGAAUAAGGAUCGGCUAACUCCGUGCCAGCAGCCGCGGUAAUACGGAGGAUCCGAGCGUUAUCCGGAUUUAUUGGGUUUAAAGGGUGCGCAGGCGGAAUAUUAAGUCGGCGGUGAAAGUUUGCAGCUUAACUGUAAAAUUGCCGUUGAUACUGGUAUUCUUGAGUGUAUAUGAAGUAGGCGGAAUUUGUAGUGUAGCGGUGAAAUGCAUAGAUAUUACAAGGAACUCCGAUUGCGAAGGCAGCUUACUAAAAUACAACUGACGCUCAGGCACGAAGGCGUGGGUAUCAAACAGGAUUAGAUACCCUGGUAGUCCACGCAGUAAACGAUGAUUACUCGCUGUUUGCGAUACACAGUAAGCGGCUUAGCGAAAGCGUUAAGUAAUCCACCUGGGGAGUACGUUCGCAAGAAUGAAACUCAAAGGAAUUGACGGGGGCCCGCACAAGCGGAGGAACAUGUGGUUUAAUUCGAUGAUACGCGAGGAACCUUACCCGGGCUUGAAAUGCAUUUGACCGGCUCAGAGACGAGCCUUCCCUUCGGGGCAAAUGUGUAGGUGCUGCAUGGUUGUCGUCAGCUCGUGCCGUGAGGUGUCGGCUUAAGUGCCAUAACGAGCGCAACCCUCAUCAUUAGUUACUAACAGGUUAAGCUGAGGACUCUAAUGAGACUGCCAUCGUAAGAUGUGAGGAAGGUGGGGAUGACGUCAAAUCAUCAUGCCCUUUAUGGUCUGGGCUACACACGUGCUACAAUGGCGAUUACAGAGGGCAGCGAAACCGCGAGGUGGAGCAAAUCCCUAAAGGUCGCCCCAGUUCAGAUUGCAGGCUGAAACUCGCCUGCAUGAAGUAGGAAUUGCUAGUAAUGGCAGGUCAGCAUACUGCCGUGAAUACGUUCCCGGGCCUUGUACACACCGCCCGUCACACCAUGAGAGUUGACAACACCCGAAGUCAGUAGCUUAACCGCAAGGAGAGCGCUGCCGAAGGUGGGGUUGAUGAUUAGGGUGAAGUCGUAACAAGGUAGCCG